GAUGAACGCUGGCGGCGUGCCUAAUACAUGCAAGUCGAGCGAACGGACGAGAAGCUUGCUUCUCUGAUGUUAGCGGCGGACGGGUGAGUAACACGUGGAUAACCUACCUAUAAGACUGGGAUAACUUCGGGAAACCGGAGCUAAUACCGGAUGAUAUUUUGAACCGCAUGGUUCAAAAGUGAAAGACGGUCUUGCUGUCACUUAUAGAUGGAUCCGCGCUGCAUUAGCUAGUUGGUAAGGUAACGGCUUACCAAGGCAACGAUGCAUAGCCGACCUGAGAGGGUGGUCGGCUACACUGGAACUGAGACAGGGUCCAGACUCCUACGGGAGGCAGCAGUAGGGAAUCUUCCGCAAUGGGCGAAAGCCUGACGGAGCAACGCCGCGUGAGUGAUGAAGGUCUUCGGAUCGUAAAACUCUGUUAUUAGGGAAGAACAUAUGUGUAAGUAACUGUGCACAUCUUGACGGUACCUAAUCAGAAAGCCACGGCUAACUACGUG
Molecule: ribosomal RNA, 497 nt
Filed under: uncultured bacterium
Lineage: Bacteria
Description: partial 16S ribosomal RNA
Rfam family: Bacterial small subunit ribosomal RNA
Source: RNAcentral